AACGAACGCUGGCGGCAGGCUUAACACAUGCAAGUCGAGCGCCCCGCAAGGGGAGCGGCAGACGGGUGAGUAACGCGUGGGAAUCUACCCAUCACUACGGAACAACUCCGGGAAACUGGAGCUAAUACCGUAUACAUCCUUCGGGAGAAAGAUUUAUCGGUGAUGGAUGAGCCCGCGUUGGAUUAGCUAGUUGGUGGGUAAUGGCCCACCAAGGCGACGAUCCAUAGCUGGUCUGAGAGGAUGAUCAGCCACACUGGGACUGAGACACGGACCAGACUCCUACGGGAGGCAGCAGUGGGGAAUAUUGGACAAUGGGCGCAAGCCUGAUCCAGCCAUGCCGCGUGAGUGAUGAAGGCCCUAGGGUUGUAAAGCUCUUUCACCGGUGAAGAUAAUGACGGUAACCGGAGAAGAAGCCCCGGCUAACUUCGUGCCAGCCGCCGCCGUAA
RNAcentral lists this ribosomal RNA (446 nucleotides) under uncultured bacterium. Its description in RNAcentral is "partial 16S ribosomal RNA". It matches the Rfam family "Bacterial small subunit ribosomal RNA", at positions 29 to 523 of the family's 1533-position model. The record is from RNAcentral.